CGGAGGAUAAGAAACUAAAUAGGAUUCCCUCAGUAAUGGCGAAUGAACAGGGAUCAGCUCAGCAUGGAAAUUGGGGCCCUCGGCCUUGAAUUGUAGUCUCCAGAUGCAUCGCCAAUGGAGGCGCAGAUGUAAGCCUCUUGGAAAAGAGCAUCAACGAGGGUGAGAGUCCCGCUUGUCAUCUGCAGUCCCCCAUGCACGGCAUGCCUUCUAAGAGUCGCGUUCCUCGGAAUUGGAGCGUAAAUUGGGUGGUAAAUUUCAUCUCAAGCUAAAUAUUGGUUCGAGACCGAUAGCAAACAAGUACCAUGAGGGAAAGGUGAAAAGGACUUUGAAAAGAGAGUUAAAAGUGCCUGAAAUUGCUGAAAGGGAAGCGAAUGGAACCAGUGUUGCUUGGCGAGAUUGUCAUACGCAUUCGCGUGUGGUGGUUCUUGCCUUGUGUGUCAACGCCAGUUCGUGAUCGAGGAAAACUCUAGGGACAUGGUAGCUUGCCUCUGGGUGGGCGAAUGUGCCUGGUAGAACUCAUUUGCGGACUGAUUCAUUUGUGUCUGGUUGCAGUGCCUGUUGUCACUUCGACGUGCUGGUGAUGGGGGCUCGCUCCUUGAUCUUUGCGCUCGGGUGACUGGGCAUUUCCCUGACAUAUAGACGAUGACUAAAUGGUUCUAUUCGACCCGUCUUGAAACACGGACCAAGGAGUCUAACAUAUGUGCGAGUCCACGGGUGGUAAACCUGCUGGCGCAGUGAAAGCGACUGCUGGGAUUUUUGCACCAGCAACCGACCAAUCAAUUGAGAGAGGUUUGAGUAUGAGCAUAUCUGUUAGGACCCGAAAGAUGGUGAACUAUGCCUGAGAAGGGCAAACUCAGGGGAAACUCUGAUGGAGGCUCGUAGCGAUACUGACGUGCAAAUCGUUCGUCAUACUUGGGUAUAGGGGCGAAAGACUAAUCGAACCAUCUAGUAGCU
This 954-nucleotide ribosomal RNA is filed under the name Prorocentrum micans. RNAcentral's name for it is "LSU rRNA". It matches the Rfam family "Eukaryotic large subunit ribosomal RNA", at positions 51 to 952 of the family's 3401-position model. The record is from RNAcentral. Lineage: Eukaryota; Dinophyceae; Prorocentrales; Prorocentraceae.